RNAcentral lists this ribosomal RNA (487 nucleotides) under uncultured Lachnospiraceae bacterium. Its description in RNAcentral is "bacterial SSU rRNA". It matches the Rfam family "Bacterial small subunit ribosomal RNA", at positions 8 to 507 of the family's 1533-position model. Lineage: Bacteria; Bacillati; Bacillota; Clostridia; Lachnospirales; Lachnospiraceae. The record is from RNAcentral.
AGAGUUUGAUCCUGGCUCAGGAUGAACGCUGGCGGCGUGCUUAACACAUGCAAGUCGAACGGACUCAUAUUGAAACCUAGUGAUUUAUGAGUUAGUGGCGGACGGGUGAGUAACGCGUGGAAACCUGCCGUAUACUGGGGGAUAACACUUAGAAAUAGGUGCUAAUACCGCAUAAGCGCACAGCUUCGCAUGAAGUGGUGUGAAAAACUCUGGUGGUAUACGAUGGUUCCGCGUCUGAUUAGCUUGUUGGUGGGGUAAUGGCUCACCAAGGCGACGAUCAGUAGCCGGCCUGAGAGGGUGAACGGCCACAUUGGGACUGAGACACGGCCCAAACUCCUACGGGAGGCAGCAGUGGGGAAUAUUGCACAAUGGGGGAAACCCUGAUGCAGCGACGCCGCGUGAGUGAAGAAGUAUUUCGGUAUGUAAAGCUCUAUCAGCAGGGAAGAAAAUGACGGUACCUGAUUAAGAAGCCUCGGCUAACUACGUG